This is a long non-coding RNA of Myotis davidii, 4222 nucleotides long. RefSeq lists it as uncharacterized. Lineage: Eukaryota; Metazoa; Chordata; Mammalia; Chiroptera; Vespertilionidae. The transcript is spliced from 2 exons. The record is from RefSeq and is a predicted model, not a curated record.
AGUGUGAUGUUCUUACGUAAGAGGAGGGUGAUGGGAGAGGAAGGGAUGGGCUCGGGGCUGGGGUUUCCACUGAUCGGCAGCCCGGCUCUCUGCCGCCGCCCGCUUCUGGGCUUUCUUGGCUGGGGCUGCUCCUGACAGAAGGGAUGCAUGUUGUCGGGGGCGGGGGGCUUGGCAUGUGUGUGUGUGUGCAUGUGUGAGUAUGUGUGUGUGUGUUUAAAAUACAAAAAAAAAAAAAGAAAAGAAGCGUGGCUACACCCAGCUGCAAGAGGCUGGCCGGGCUUCGUCCGUGCCAGUUGCCUCUGAGCUGGCACCGUGGGGACAGGAGGAGGGAGAGGUGAGGAGCCGCUGCGCGGGGAAGAUGGACGCUUGCCAUGGACGAGCAGCAGGCUGGGCGCCUCCUGGGUGCCGCGGACUCACGGGGGCAAAACUCACAAACAAAAACCACAGCGAAUUGCUGGCAGCCCAUCCUGGGGAGGCGGCAGCCGCUUGGCAGCGGAGCCACGGAGGACCCGGCUGGGAGCAGUUGGACAGUGGCGGCCGGCGAGACACAGGGGUCUGGUGAGGACCAGAUGAGGUGAGCUGCAGAGAGCCCCCCGUGCCUGCUCCACAUGUGGUGAUCUGGAUAAGAGCUGCCCAUUGUCCUGGCGCCUGACCACAACUAGAAGUACACGCCACACGUGAGACAAGAAAAAGCAUUUUCUAAAGUGCUCAGACACCCUACACCACAGCUGGUCACACAGGAUUUUAUCUUCUUCAGAAUCUAAACAAUCUGCCCCAUGACAGGAAGUGGCUGAGUGGGGGACUUGAGGGCAGCUGCUGUGGGCAACCUGAGAACCCAUGGGGGCCGUGGGCAUAAAUAACAAGAUACAGGAGGCUCUGGAAGAGGGAUGACCGAAUAGUUGGAACCAGAGUCCGCAGGCAGGUCAGCCACCUGCCCUCUUGAAGACUCAUUUUCCCUGCAUCACCAGAGGCCUGGCCCAACCUGAGCCAGAACAGAUAUCACUAAUCAAUCACAGUGCCUCUCUCACAGCCACCUCCCUCCCUGGGAUUCCAGGAGUUGCUCUUUGCUACCAGAAUUAGAUGAGCUCCAAAUGCCCCAUCUUAAGGCUAGUCUACACCUACAUGCAGAUCACUGAGGAGCCUGCGUGUCUGGCAGCAUCGAAGGUCUGUGCCACAGACCCAUGGGCAUCCUGCUCCCGCCAACCAUUCUCCCAGCUGCCAGACCUGCUAGCAGCUAGGGAAUAGUGCAUUCUGGGGUCUGCAACCCGGCGGGCUAGCCCCCAACACCAGAUGUGACAUCUGCCCAGCAUGCUGCCCCCUCCUGGCUCAGCAGCACACUGUGACCGAGAACAUGGGCUUGGGGUCAGAGACCUGGAUUCUGGAAGGCCUGGGCUCUGCCACUGACCUUCCCAUGGCCUGGAUGGGAUGCCUAUUACGGGGUUAUGUAUGUGCCUGGCACAUAGCACAUGCUCAGUGAAGUCAACGCCAGUGGGCCUUAAAACACUUGCUCAACCAACGAAGCUGACAAUGACAGGAGCUGCAGAACCAUCAGCGGGCCAUGACGUGGGACACGGGACAUGCAUCUCCCAGCACGUGAGGCCUGAGGACAUGGGGAUGGGCUGGGGGCAGGGAGGAAGGUGAAGGGAACACGGGGGUGAGCUGCUCCACAAAAGCACACGGCACCAACAUGCCACUGUCUGGCCCAGCACUUGGGAGCUGCGGGCCGGAGGGAACAGCGGCAGAACCAGGCUGUUGCCUGUAAUAAGCGGAGGAGGGCUGGCACGUGAGAGGUGGCCCCGGACCCGUGGCCACACAGCAGCAGGCUCCAAGGCACCCAGAGCCAGUAGGAGUGAGUCAGAGCUGGACACGCCCUCAAUGCCUCCAACCUGGUCAGGCCCCCGGCUGGCCCCUUAGCAUAGAUCCCUUGGCUGGGGUGGGGUGGGGGCCCAUGAAGAUGGAGGGGUGCAGCCACUAUGGAGCCCCUACACACUCAGUCAAGGUGCCAAGGUGUGCGGCUGUGGUGUAGGAAAAACUGAGGCACAGCGGGCUGACCGGUCCAAAGCACACAGCCAGUGCAGAGUGGCUCGCCCCACCUCCCUGGUCUCUCAGGGACUCUGGUGGAGGGCUGGUGCUCUGGAGAACUGUCAGGGGCACAGCCCAGGAGCCUGGCGGACACAGAGGCAGACUAGCUGCCCUCCCACCCCAGGCUGGGAAAACAUCACUGCAGGGAGCCCGAAAGGGCCCACAUCACUGCCAGCAUCUCCUGCCUCUGGCAAAGGAAAGUGAGGAGGCCCAGGGUCAGCAGGCGGUGCGGAGGGAGGGCGCCCAUAGGGCUUCUCAGGGUGGUCCCGGCCACCCACAUGGAGUUCCCAAAACACCUGCUCAGGAUGCAGAUUCCUGGGCCCAACCAGGCCCGGUGAGUCCAGACCCACCAUCAGGGUCCCACUGCCUGAUUGUUGGGUCUGAGAGCCCCGUUCCCUCAAAUCUCAUGUGGGGCGACAGCCUCCAGCUCCAGUACCUCUUUCUUCAGGGAACAUGUGAGAUGAAACAGCAAUGGACGCAAAACCUGCACCGUGGCCAGAGGUGAGGGGCUGUCGCUGGAGGAGGGGAGCCAGUGGAGCAAGACCCCUGAGCAUGUGGACACAGGCCCCCAAGGAACUGUGACUGGUUGGGUGGGUGAGAGCAGCUUGCUCGGCCCCCUGCCGGCCUCGCUCAUCCAAGUGAGCCAGGAUGGCUCCUUUGUUUGGCUCCACGGGCGAUGUGGGCUGGGUCUGGAGGUAAUCUGUCUGCCUCCUGCAGCUGGCUGUCAGCUCACAUCUGCGAACCAGCUUCAUUUUCACUGUCAUUAAAAAUCCCAGGUCUGACAGGUAGAGAAAAUCCAAUGUAAAAACAACCUCCCAGGGACCGACUGAGGCUCCAGGGGGAGCCUGGCUUCCAGCCCAGGGCCAAGCCCCCGUGGGAGACAAGGUGGGAGCCUGCCCCGCUCCCCACUGUUCUGGGUGGAAUGGGUAAGCUAAACAGGUGUCAGCCUGCCAUCAGCACGGUAGGGCCAAAGAAAAGACACAGAGAGAAGACAGAGGGAAGGGAUGGAAGGGGAGGAGAGGGAACACAGGCAAUGACCUGCCCAGGCCACACCUACACAUCACAAAGGACACUGGACACUGCCCUAGUGGUCUAAGGCUGCCCCAUUGACAGGCGAGGAAGGGAAAGGUCAGAGGUUGUGCACCCCACCGCAGUCACAUGGCUAAAACGCGCCUCUCCGUGAGGCUUUCGGACUUCCUGAUCUUUGGGGUGGAGGCGGUGCACCUGUUGGAGGUCCAUCAGGGCCCUGGGGAAGGAUCUGAAGUAUCUCCCUGGGUACUAGAGCAGGCUGGUGCCCCCUCCAGGACACAGGGCUGUGGAGCACGGGUGCAGGUCACAGGACAGAUGCCAGCUUUGUUUCGUGAGAUUUCUCCAUCACUCAGGCAAGCCACUUGUCCUUUCUGAACUUCCAGGGCUGCAACUGUAGAUGGUGGUAGGUGGGCAGAUGUGCCCAGAGUGAGCAUAUGAAGGGUGUGGUGGGACUGGCCCUGCAGGUCACCCUGUGCUUGCUUCAUUCCACCAGGCCCAGGGCUGCAGUGAUGCACUUACCGCCCAGGGGAGGCUACCACCAUCUUUCUCUCAGGGGGUCAGAGUACACACUGGAUGCUGGCCUCCAGGUCACAGGUCUGGAAAGCAUGCCCUCAGCACCCACCCCCUGAGGCCCUCCCUCUGUGAUGGGACAGGAGCAUCAGGCUCAGGCAUUCUCUGCUGCUGCACUUGGGCUGGCUGGGGCUGCUGGGAGCUUGGUGAAGCCAGCCCCAUGGAGCGCCCCCGGGGACAGGGUGAGUCCCUGCUGUCUGGGGCCUUAGCUGGAGCCUGAGGGGGGCUCAGAGCCUGGAUCUCUUCCUAGGGCGCUGGGGCUCAUGCAGCUGUCAACAUCUGGAAAAAAAGUUCAUAGAGGGCUUGGGAGGAUGUGACCCUCUCAACCUGGACAGCUCCCUCCCACCUGGGGCCAGGGAGACCUCCAUAAGGCCAGGACCACCCACCCCCAAAGCUAAGGCAGCACCGGAGCUGAGGAGCCGGCGUGCAUAGGGUUAACCACUGAUUAUAGCUUUGUCUCUGCAUCGGGUGCAUAAUGUGCUCAUUUGCAUACUGCAGUGUGCGCUCAAUUAAAAUGAACUUUUAAUUUCUUCUAAGUAAA